This 305-nucleotide ribosomal RNA is filed under the name uncultured bacterium. RNAcentral describes it as "bacterial SSU rRNA". It matches the Rfam family "Bacterial small subunit ribosomal RNA", at positions 334 to 656 of the family's 1533-position model. The record is from RNAcentral.
UGGGCCUACGGGAGGCAGCAGUGGGGAAUAUUGCGCAAUGGGGGAAACCCUGACGCAGCAACGCCGCGUGAGCGAUGAAGGUUUUCGGAUUGUAAAGCUCUGUCUUUGGGGAAGAUAAUGACGGUACCCAAGGAGGAAGCCCCGGCUAACUACGUGCCAGCAGCCGCGGUAAUACGUAGGGGGCAAGCGUUGUCCGGAUUCACUGGGCGUAAAGAGCACGUAGGCGGUUAUUUAAGUCAGGUGUGAAAGUUUUCGGCUCAACCGGAAAAGUGCACUUGAAACUGGAUAACUUGAGAAUCGGAGAG